RNAcentral lists this long non-coding RNA (1762 nucleotides) under Mus musculus (house mouse). RNAcentral describes it as "long non-coding RNA chr8:77196791-77198553". The record is from RNAcentral. Lineage: Eukaryota; Metazoa; Chordata; Mammalia; Rodentia; Muridae.
UCACUGUGGACCCUGGUGGCAAAGUAAUCAAGAGGCGUGUGGGGCCUCAGAGAGGCUCAAGUACACCGUACACCGUUGUUCUUAAUCCUCCCACCUCUGUAAUGAUGGUGUUGUUUUCCCUCUUUGUUUAAUGAGGAGGACCCAAGAUUCCCUCGGUCUAGAGCUCAGCUUCUUUGGCUAAGUGAAGACUGCUCCCUUUCAGGCUAUAGUGUAAGCCUUUGAGACGUCAUAAUGUUUCCUGUGUUUUAUAACACGGAGCCCUUGCUACCCAAUCACACAUCAUCUCUCAUAAGUUACCAUCUAAAGCAAGUGGAAACACACCAGGGUAUAGACUGCACCACUGAAUCUUCUUCGAGUAACUAGGACUUUAGUUCCACAUUUAAAUCAGUUGUAUUUCCCAUCUGAUACCAUGGUAGUACCAAAGAGCUCAACCUUAAAGGCCCAGUCUUGAUAACAGCUUUGCUGUGGUCAAGUGAAUGGCUUAUUUUGCUAAGGCUCAUUUCUUUUUUCUUUUUUUUCAAAAAAAAUUUUAUUAGAUAUUUUCAUUUACAUUUCAAAUGCUAUCCUGAAAGUCCCUUAUACCCUCCCCUGCCCUGUUCCCCAACCCACCCACUCCUGCUGCCUGGCCAUGGCAUUCUCCUAUACUGGGGCAUAUGAUCUUCUCAAGACCAGGGCCUCUCCUCCCAUUGAUGGCCAACUAUGCCAUCCUCUGCUACAUAUGCAACUAGAGACAUAAGGCUCAUUUUUAAUCUAUAUCAGGAACUAAGCCACCAGCAGGUCACUGCUGAUCCAUGAAACCCCUUUAUAUUCUCAAAAUCACUGAGAAGUACAAGAGCCUUUCUUUUAUAGAAGUUUUAUCUAUUGAUAAUUGCCCAAACUGAAUUUUAAAACUAUUAAUAUAUUAAUUUAUUUAAAAAUAACCACAGGGGUAUGGAUAUAACUCAGCAGUAGAGUGCUGACCUAGCAUGCAUAAAGCCCUGGGUUCAAUCCCCAACACCACAAAAAUAUAAUAAAGAUAACAAGCCACUGUCUUCUUAUAAAUAAUAUUACAUAAUCAUUCUAUUAAAAAUCAUUUUCCCCAAAAACCUUAGGAGAGUGAUAUUUUUUGUCCUUGUUUUAUUGUGUAUUUUAAGUCCUCCCUUUUGUCUGGCUUAUAUGUAGUUGAUUUAUGUGUAUCAUCUGCAUCUCACGCUCAGCCUGCUGUGAUUGGUUGUUUUGGUUUGAAGCCUGCUGUGAUUGGUUGUUUUGGGUUGAAGCCUGCUGUGAUUGACUGUUUUGGGUUGAAGCCUGCUGUGAUUGGUUGUUUUGGGUUGAAGCCUGCUGUUAUUGGUUGUUUUGGGUUGAAGCAUAAUUUUCUAAAUGACAACAUAAGUGACUAUCCUAUUCACUUCCUUGGAUGUAAAAUUUAAUCUCUUUAUUACUUCACUAAACGUUAUGGCUGCUGCUGACAAGAUGGCUCAGUGAGUAACAUGAUUGCCAUUCAAGCCUGAGGACAUGAGUUGGGGUUCCUAGAGCCCACUUAAAUCUGGGUGCAGUAGUACACAUCUGGAAAGCUGCCACGUGGACAACUGGAUGGGAGAUGGCAACAGGAGAGUCCUCUAGUCUGGCUAUGUAGCCAGUGCACAGGGACCCUGUCUCAAAACUGGCUGGAAGGCGAGAACCGAGACCCGAGGGUUUCUUCUGACUAUAAAUGCACACCUAUUCUGGGACAUACAUGUACCCACACAUGUACUCUCAUAAUGCAGAGGCAUCAUACACUCCU